UCGAUUGGCACUCAAUCAGCCGACUGAAAUAUUGUAUCUGCCAGAUCUAAAAAUCCCCCGCACACCCAAUGGAAUAAAGCGAAUUCCGUCACGUAAAACGCGAUUGGCACCUGCGUGGUUUGGCAUGGCGUGGCGUGGCGUGGCAAGUCAAUGAAAUCGAUGGAAUCGACUUAAUAUUGGCCCGAAUCGAUAUAGCCGGGCUAAGAGCAAACUAACGGUUAGCGGGCCAUUUCGCAGCCACACCCGAUCCUCAGGUUCGCUGGGGUAAAAAAGGAAAAAAUGAAAACUGGUUAGAUAGCAGGAGGGGGUGAGGGGGAAAACUCGUUGGAUGCUCCACCAAGAUGAUUGACUUCUGCUGUUACACUUUAAGCAGCAGCCAUUGCUGCCGUUGGGUACCAAAUGCACGUGGAUCGGGCAAUUAUAGAGGCGACUCUAUAGGAAAGGAACCUUGUUGAUAAGGCACUGGGAUCGGAGGCAGUGAAUCGGAGUUGGCCAGUUUCCAGACUUGGGGCCAUCGAAGCAUUGUUAUUAGGCGCAUCUUAUCGACAGGAAGCGAUCAUCGCACAUUGGAAUGGCCUCAGCUUCGACUUGGACUUGGACUUCGGUUUCGCAGCAGCACCC
This 621-nucleotide small RNA is filed under the name Drosophila yakuba. Its description in RNAcentral is "GE28900". The record is from RNAcentral. Lineage: Eukaryota; Metazoa; Arthropoda; Insecta; Diptera; Drosophilidae.